Molecule: long non-coding RNA, 778 nt
Organism: Helianthus annuus (common sunflower)
Lineage: Eukaryota; Viridiplantae; Streptophyta; Magnoliopsida; Asterales; Asteraceae
Exons: 2
Source: RefSeq, a predicted model, not a curated record
UAAAACACAAGCCUUCUUUGUGAAAAGCUUUACGACCUACGAUGUUCUCUUUCACGCAGAUCUUCUCUUCCAAGAACAACUCUGCUGCAAUAAACUUUCACGCUCCAAUCGUUCAAUUAAAGCCUUCGAUGUCUACUGCCGCUGUUGCUUGCGAUACCUUCUGCCACCGCUGGAGUUCCCUUGUCGGUACCUUCGACGCCAGAAAACCCUAAUUAACAGUGUCGCCGGUUGCUGCCUCUUGCCGCCGCCGGUGUUCUUCCCGUCGGUUCCUUUGACGACGAAAAACAGCUUUGAUUGCAGGCACGCCCGUUAUUCAAAGACAGUAGGAAAUUCGGGCGGAUGGCGGACCCCAUGCUCCAAGGGCAGUACUCUGUAAGAGGUUUGCAUCAGGCACUUGCAGUGGCUGCAAUGUGUGUACAAGAGCAGCCCAACUCGCGACCCGUGAUUGCAGAUGUAGUUACAGCCCUCACAUAUCUUGCUUCUCAAAAGUAUGACCCACGGGCCUACCCGCCUCAAACCACUAGCUCGGUCUCUUCUGCCCCUGGAACACGAAGAAAUAGCGAUGCUGCGACUAGAUGACGUGAAAGUUCGAUAUCUUGUGUUUAUAUUACACUUGGAAAGUCUACAAUGUUACUUUGUUUAUGUCUCAAACUCUCACCAUUCUUUUUUUACAAUCUUGAAUUUUUUUUUUAAUUCAAGAAAUGGAGGUUUUAUGUAAUUAUCAAGGUCUGUAUUAAAGGUACAAUUUUAGUUUGUCCAAAGUAAUUGUCUACUUCCG